UAAAAAAAAGCCAUAGAUAGCUUCAAAACUUACCGGGGAGUCCCACCUCCUCACUGAAUGCCCCAUUACAACAAUGGCAACUGCAGAUGCAGGAGACCCAUAGUCAGAACUUGAACCCCCUCCCCCUUAAAGAGCAUAUUGCAGGUGACAUUUUUACAAAAUGCAUGUGUAAUCUGGUCCAAAAAUUACCUUUUGAAAAGUUGAUUGAGGAUUUAAAAUACUAUUCAAGACGUUAGGGGAGAUAUUUAACCGAAAAGUGACAGUUUUGAGCAAAGCGCCAAAAAAUGUUUUUUUUGUUUCAACAUCGCAUCAUAUUACGUAACGAGAGGGAGUUACAUGCUAGCAACUCAGUGUGGGAGUAGGUACGUUAUCAGUCAGAGUGGUUGUGUUGUAGUGAGUCAGUGUGUUGUCAUUAGUUUUGGAUUGUGUUAAUUUACUAUCAACAUGGUAAAUUAUUGCGUUUGUGGAGGUUGCACAAACUCCAGCCUGUCAGGACACCGAGUCCACCGGUUUCCUAACAGGAGAAAAAAACGGUGCUAUCUCCUGUGCCUGGGUCUGUUUUGUGCAGCUGAAGAGACGGGACUUCUCCUCUGUGUCAGCUACAAAAAAUGCGGUCAUGUGUGGCGCUCACUUCAGACCGGAGGAUUAUCAUCCAAGUGACCUGUUGGAGUUCAACGUGGGAUGCCGAAGCAAGAACCAGGAUUUAGGAGACAUUGGCAGUGAUGAGGUGGGAGAGAUGACAGCCAUUUCUGCUGCUGCAGCAGCACACGCGGACACAGAGCAAGAGGCAUCUGCACUUCACCGUGGCUCACAGUGCAACCUCAGACCUCUUCAUCGUUCAUCAGCUGUCCAGGCACAGCCCAAGAUGGUCAGUGUGGGAACUCAGACAGAAAGCUCUGAGAAAAAAACAUCUACUCCACUGCCCAGUCUGUUUUCAUGGGAGCUGCUGGAGACAUGUCAUGGAUCCCAGAGGAAGAAAUGAGAAGUGACUCAUCUGAUGAGGAACUCUCAAAUCCGCCUCUGCAGGACUCUCCCCAUGACCUCAAAGCUCAGAGGUCCCAAGUAGUAGCUGGUGUGAGUUAGAGGGUCUUAAGCGCAGCGUAAGGUUUCUUGAUGAGCAACAUAUGGAUGUCAGCCCUCAUCACGGACAGAAAUAGACAGGUGUAGGGAAGUAGAGGUGGAAUGAAGAUCUGAAGCUGUGGAGGCCAGCUGUUUUAAACCACCUUUACUGGGCUGCUGCUUCCACUCCUGAUGGUGAUCCAACAUAAAUAUAAUACGAAUCACAGCUAAUAAUGAUUAUACAGUCUUGCCUCAUCAUUAGAACAUAAUUUGUGUUUAUGCAGGAUCAACUGUAGCAAUAAAACUGGAACAUGUAGCUACAAGAACAGCACUGGUGAAGGAUGUUCGGCAGUUGUCCCCACAGCAUCAGACCUUUUCACUGGAGGCCUUCCACUCCCUCAUCCUGCACUUUGCACCAAAGCACACUGGCUUCUCCUCCCUUGGGAUGUACAGCAGGUGUGUCUGAUUGUAGGUUGCCCUGUGGAGCUGAUUGGCUGCUUUCCUGGAGCCAUAAGUUUAAAUGCCAGCUCCUCCCAGUUACUGGAGGCUCUCCUCUGCUGUUCCAGACUGCCAGCAUUGUGUGAUUGUGAAAAAUAUGUUUGUUAAUAAAACUAUUGAAAAAUG
Long non-coding RNA from Acanthopagrus latus (yellowfin seabream), 1683 nucleotides. RefSeq lists it as uncharacterized. The transcript is spliced from 6 exons. Lineage: Eukaryota; Metazoa; Chordata; Actinopteri; Spariformes; Sparidae. The record is from RefSeq and is a predicted model, not a curated record.